This is a long non-coding RNA of Mangifera indica (mango), 316 nucleotides long. RefSeq lists it as uncharacterized. The record is from RefSeq and is a predicted model, not a curated record. The transcript has 2 exons. NCBI's taxonomy places the organism in Eukaryota, Viridiplantae, Streptophyta, Magnoliopsida, Sapindales, Anacardiaceae.
GUCGACUUCUCUCCCUCACUAAUUCAAAUCUUCUCUCGUCUUCUUAAUUUUACUCUUCGUCUGCGCCGGUUGCGGUGUUGCACAACGUCCGCAAUAGGUUUCCAACAGACAGAUCGAUCUGGUGCUUAUGCGUUUUCUGCAUUUGUUACAUUUAAAGAUGCUUAUUCUCAAGAAACAUCUGUCUUUCUCAGUGUGAGUCUGAAUAUUAAAUAAACUCUUUGCUGGAAAGCAAGCUCUAUGUCGCGCGUCUAAAGCCGCUGCUAACUUGGGUAGUCGCAAUGUUAAAUAUUGACUCAAUCAAUCAUCCCUUUUAACA